Molecule: ribosomal RNA, 468 nt
Filed under: uncultured bacterium
Lineage: Bacteria
Description: partial 16S ribosomal RNA
Rfam family: Bacterial small subunit ribosomal RNA
Source: RNAcentral
GACGAACGCUGGCGGCGGGCUUAACACAUGCAAGUCGAACGGAAAGGCCGUGCUUUUGUGGGGUGCUCGAGUGGCGAACGGGUGAGUAACACGUGAGUAACCUGCCCUUGACUUUGGGAUAACUUCAGGAAACUGGGGCUAAUCCCGGAUAGGAGCUCCUGCUGCAUGGAGGGCGUUGGAACUUUGCGGCGGGUGGGGAUGGACUCGCGGCUUAUCAGCUUGCUGGUGGGGUAGUGGCUUACCAAGGCUUUGAAGGGUAGCCGGCCUGGGAGGGUGACCGGCCACAUUGGGACUGAGAUACGGCCCAGACUCCUACGGGAGGCAACAGUGGGGAAUAUUGCACAAUGGGCGGGAGCCUGUGGCAGCAACGCCGCGUGCGGGAUGACGGCCUUCGGGGUGUAAACCGCUUUCGCCUGUGACGAAGCGUGAGUGACGGUAAUGGGUAAAGAAGCACCGGCUAACUACGUG